Molecule: ribosomal RNA, 500 nt
Filed under: uncultured Glomeromycotina
Lineage: Eukaryota; Fungi; Glomeromycota
Description: partial small subunit ribosomal RNA
Rfam family: Eukaryotic small subunit ribosomal RNA
Source: RNAcentral
CCAAUAGCGUAUAUUAAAGUUGUUGCAGUUAAAAAGCUCGUAGUUGAAUUUCGGGGUCAGUAGGUCGGUCGUGCCACAGGUAUGCACUGGUCUCACUGAUUCCUCCUUCCUGAUGAACCGUAAUGCCAUUGAUUUGGUGUUGCGGGGAGACUGGACUGUUACUUUGAAAAAAUUAGAGUGUUUAAAGCAGGCUAACGCUUGAAUACAUUAGCAUGGAAUAACGGAAUAGGACGUUCGAUCUUAUUUUGUUGGUUUCUAAGAUUGACGUAAUGAUUAAUAGGGAUAGUUGGGGGCAUUAGUAUUCAAUUGUAAGGGGUGAAAUUCUUGGAUUUAUUGAAGACUAACUACUGCGAAAGCAUUUGCCAAGGAUGUUUUCAUUAAUCAAGAACGAAAGUUAGGGGAUCGAAGACGAUCAGAUACCGUCGUAGUCUUAACCAUAAACUAUGCCGACUAGGGAUCGGAUGAUGUUAAUUUUUUAAUGACUCAUUCGGCGCCUUACG